RNAcentral lists this unclassified non-coding RNA (372 nucleotides) under soil metagenome. RNAcentral describes it as "partial contains 5.8S ribosomal RNA, internal transcribed spacer 2, and large subunit ribosomal RNA". The stretch from base 1 to 120 matches the Rfam family "5.8S ribosomal RNA", at positions 35 to 154 of the family's 154-position model. The record is from RNAcentral.
GAUGAAGAACGUAGCGAAAUGCGAUAAGUAAUGUGAAUUGCAGAAUUCAGUGAAUCAUCGAAUCUUUGAACGCACAUUGCGCCCGCCAGUAUUCUGGCGGGCAUGCCUGUUCGAGCGUCAUUUCAACCAUCAAGCCCCCCUGGCUUGGUGUUGGACGGUUUUGGUGGGACGUGCAGCCUCUCACCCCUCCUAAAGACAAUGACGGCGGCGUCGUUGGAACCCCCGGUACACUGAGCUUCUUAACUGAGCACGUACUGGAUGCGGGUACGCGAUGCACGGUCUGCCUCCCCUUUAGGGAGAACUUUUUCUUAAGGUUGACCUCGGAUCAGGUAGGAAUACCCGCUGAACUUAAGCAUAUCAAUAAGCGGAGGA